RNAcentral lists this ribosomal RNA (1551 nucleotides) under Triticum aestivum (bread wheat). Its description in RNAcentral is "partial small subunit ribosomal RNA". The record is from RNAcentral. Lineage: Eukaryota; Viridiplantae; Streptophyta; Magnoliopsida; Poales; Poaceae.
AUGGCAUGUACCACAGGUGAACCGACCUCUCUGCAAGAAGCAUUUGGUGAUUUGAAGUGGAAAAGGGUUAUGGAAGAAGAAUACAUGGCUCUUCAGAAGAACAAAACAUGGCAUCUGGUUCCCCCAAAGCAAGGUAAAAAUUUGAUAGAUUGCAAAUGGGUAUUCAGAAUCAAGAGGAAAUCUGAUGGAACAAUAGAUCGCUAUAAAGCUAGACUGGUUGCAAAAGGCUUUAAACAAAGGUAUGGCAUAGACUAUGAGGAUACCUUUAGUCCAGUUGUAAAGAUUGCUACCAUUCGUCUUGUUCUGUCUAUUGCUGUUUCAAGGGGAUGGAGUCUGAGGCAACUAGAUGUACAGAACGCGUUUCUUCAUGGCGUUCUGGAAGAAGAGGUUUACAUGAAACAGCCUCCUGGGUUUGAAAACAGAAAAUUCCCAUCUUAUGUCUGCAAGCUUGAUAAGGCCAUCUAUGGGUUGAAGCAAGCCCCUAGAGCAUGGUAUUCCAGACUCAGUCACAAGCUACAAGCUCUUGGUUUCAUUCCUUCAAAGUCUGACACUUCCUUGUUUAUAUACAAUAAGUCAAAUACAUCUAUAUUUGUACUUAUUUAUGUGGAUGAUAUAAUUGUUACAAGCUCAUCUGAUCAGGCAGUGAUAGGACUAUUAAAGAAUUUGAGUGCUGAGUUUGCUUUAAAGGAUCUUGGAGACUUGCACUUCUUCUUAGGGAUCGAAGUAAAGAGACAUGGUAAUGAUCUUCAUCUCUCUCAAGAAAAGUAUGCUACUGAUUUGGUCAAACGAGUAGGGUUGCAAGGUUGUAAACCAUCACCUACUCCUCUAUCUAGUUCAGAAAAAUUGUCACUUAUAGAAGGAGAUCCCUUGAAUCAAGAUGAUAGCACAAACUACAGAAGUUUGGUAGGUGCACUUCAAUAUUUGACGCUUACAAGACCAGAUAUUUCAUUUGCUGUUAAUAAAGUAUGCCAGUUUCUUCAUGCUCCUACAACAGUUCAUUGGACUGGAGCUAAACGUAUAGUCAGAUAUAUCAAAAACACUUUGAACACUGGUCUUACCUUCAGCAAGUCUCCAACAACUGUGGUUAGUGCUUUUUCUGAUUCUGACUGGGCAGGAUGUCUGGAUGAUAGACGGUCUACAGGUGGAUUUGCAAUCUUCUUUGGACCCAAUCUCAUAUCUUGGUGUGCCAAGAAACAAGCCACAGUAUCCAGAUCCAGUACAGAAGCAGAGUAUAAAGCAUUAGCAAAUGCAACUGCAGAAAUUAUAUGGGUUCAGUCUUUGCUCAAAGAGCUUGGUAUAAGACGAAUCCCAGCACCAUGCUUGUGGUGUGACAAUCUUGGUGCCACAUAUCUUUCUGCAAAUCCAGUCUUUCAUGCUAGAACAAAACAUAUUGAGAUUGAUUUCCAUUUUGUCAGAGAACGGGUUGCUAACAAACAGUUGGAAAUCAGGUAUAUUCAUUCAAGAGAUCAGCUUGCAGAUGGCUUUACCAAGGCGUUACCUACACGGAGCUUUGAAGAGUUUAAGCGUAAUCUCAAUUUGUCAGAGUUGUGA